AUUUGUUUGUUUUCGGUUUUCGCAUAAACAAGUUGGCAAUUAGCUGAUCAAAUUGUCACCUUUGGCAAUAACAAAAGCGUCACAUGUCAUCUGGUUGGUGAAUUUUUCAAAAGCAUGGACUUUUUGAAAUUCUUCACAGCACCAAAAGAGACCCCGAUUGUCAGAGAACAAGCCGAAAGGAUUCUGGCUUUGAAACGUGAAAUCGACGAGCUGAAGAACCAAAACUUAACCCUGGAGAAGAUAAUCAUAAACAACGGAUGCGAAGUGCCUCCGUACGGCCAAGGUGAUCAGGUCUCCCACAACUUCCACAACACAAUGACCGGUUACGAGAAGUUCAUAGAGGAGCACAUGGAAAUUAAGGAGCAGAUGGAGACCCAAAUAAAAUUGACGGACGAACGUAUAAAAGAACAUGAGCGAACUAUCAACGAGUUUAAGGAGAAGUUCGCGGACACAAAGUCGCAGAUUGAGAUGCGUAAGGCCAAUCUGGAUGUUAUAAAGGGGGAAGUUUUCGACUUGAGUCUGAAGGCACGUGACCUUACCGAAAAGUGCGAUGUCAAUUAUCAUUUGUUUGGGUAAUAAUAUUUAAUGUUCCCGCCAAAUUUGCAGUGACAAAUCUUCAUUAAAAAAUCUAGUUUGUUUAAAACAAAUUGUUGCUAGGAGAGUAACAUAUUGUUUUUAUCAAUAUUUUUUUUUGUUCUUGUAUAGCGUUAUGUUCGUCGUAAAAUGAGGAAGAGAAAAAGUUUUGUUUUGUUAUUAAAAAAACACAAAAAGAAAGGAAAUUAUUAAAUAGCCGUUAUGUUCGUCGUAAAAUGUAGAGCAGAAAAAGUUUUAUUUUGUUCUUAAAAAAAAAACACAAAAAGAUAGGGAGUUAUUAAAUUCAAAAGAAGCAAGAAGAAAUGUGAAAUGAUAUAAAUAUAUAAUACUACUAGUAACUACUUGGUAAAUGUGUCUUUAAUACUUGUGUUGAGUAAUAUUAACAUUUAAUGUGAUUUGAAUGAACUUCAAUUUUUUGUUGAUUAAAUUUAUGUAAAAUUGUAAUUUAUGUAUUAUACAUCUGUUGUAGAUUAUUGUUACAAAAAUAUAUCGAGUAAAAUGUAUUACAAAAUUAUUGUUAGUACUUAUUAUUGAAAUAUAUGUUUAUAUUAUUUUAUUGCAGUAAUUAUUUGUAUUCUUUAAGAUUGUCAAUACUUCACAAAAUAAUUUAUAGCUGAGAAGAGCACAUGGAAAUUUAAAGAGCAGAUGGAGAUCCAAAUAAAAUUGACGGACGAACGUAUAAAAGAACAUGAGCGAACUAUCAACGAGUUUAAGGAGAAGUUCGCGGGCACAAAGUCCCAGAUUGAGAUACGUAAGGCCAAUCUGGAUGUCACAAAGGGGAAAGUUUUCGACUUGAGUCUGAAGGCAAGUGACCUUACCGAAAAGUGCGACGUCAAUUAUCAUUUGUCUGGGUAAUAACAUUUAAUAUUUCCUCCAAAUUUGCAGUGGCAAUUCUUCAUUAAAAAAUCUAGUUUGUUUAAAACAAAUUGUUGCUAGAAGAGUAACAACAUAUUGUUUUUAUCAAUAUUUUUUUUUGUUCUUGUAUAGCGUUAUGUUCGUCGUAAAAUGAGGAAGAGAAAAAGUUUUGUUUUGUUCUUAAAAAAACACAAAAAGAAAGGGAAUUAUUAAAUAGCCGUUAUGUUCGUCGUAAAAUGUAGAGCAGAAAAAGUUUUAUUUUGUUAUUAAAAAAACACAAAAAGAAAGGGAAUUAUUAAAUAGCCGUUGUGUUCGUCGUAAAAUGUAGAGCAGAAAAAGUUUUAUUUUGUUCUUAAAAAAACACAAAAAGAAAGGGAAUUAUUAAAUAGCCGUUAUGUUCGUCGUAAAAUGUAGAGCAGAAAAAGUUUUAUUUUGUUCUUAAAAAAAAAACACAAAAAGAUAGGGAGUUAUUAAAUUCAAAAGAAGCAAGAAGAAAUGUGAAAUGAUAUAAAUAUAUAAUACUACUAGUAACUACUUGGUAAAUGUGUCUUUAAUACUUGUGUUGAGUAAUAUUAACAAUUAAUGUGAUUUGAAUGAACUUCAAUUUUUUGUUGAUUAAAUUUAUGUAAAAUUGUAAUUUAUGUAUUAUACAUCUGUUGUAGAUUAUUGUUACAAAAAUAUAUCGAGUAAAAUGUAUUACAAAAUUAUUGUUAGUACUUAUUAUUGAAAUAUAUGUUUAUAUUAUUUUAUUGCAGUAAUUAUUUGUAUUCUUUAAGAUUGUCAAUACUUCACAAAAUAAUUUAUAGCUGAGAAGAGCACAUGGAAAUUUAAAGAGCAGAUGGAGACCCAAAUAAAAUUGACGGACGAACGUAUAAAAGAACAUGAGCGAACUAUCAACAAGUUUAAGGAGAAGUUCGCGGACACAAAGUCUCAGAUUGAGAUGCGUAAGGCCAAUCUGAAUGUUAUAAAGGGGGAAGUUUUCGACUUGAGUCUGAAGGCACGUGACCUUACCGAAAAGUGCGAUGUCAAUUAUCAUUUGUUUGGGUAAUAAUUAAUGUUCCCACCAAAUUUGCAGUGGUAAUUCUUCAUUAAAAAAUCUAGUUUGUUUAAAACAAUUUGUUGCUAGGAGAGUAACAACAUAAUGUUUUAUCAAUAUUUUUUUUUUCUUGUAUAGCGUUAUGUUCGUCGUAAAAUGAGGAAGAGAAAAAGUUUUGUUUUGUUAUUAAAAAAACACAAAAAGAAAGGGAAUUAUUAAAUAGCCGUUGUGUUCGUCGUAAAAUGUAGAGCAGAAAAAGUUUUAUUUUGUUCUUAAAAAAACACAAAAAGAUAGGGAGUUAUUAAAUUCAAAAGAAGCAAGAAGAAAUGUGAAAUGAUAUAAAUAUAUAAUACUACUAGUAACUACUUGGUAAAUGUGUCUUUAAUACUUGUGUUGAGUAAUAUUAACAAUUAAUGUGAUUUGAAUGAACUUCAAUUUUUUGUUUAUUAAAUUUAUGUAAAAUUGUAAUUUAUGUAUUAUACAUCUGUUGUAGAUUAUUGUUACAAAAAUAUAUCGAGUAAAAUGUAUUACAAAAUUA
Aethina tumida (small hive beetle) is the source of this 3023-nucleotide RNA transcript. RefSeq lists it as uncharacterized. The record is from RefSeq and is a predicted model, not a curated record. Lineage: Eukaryota; Metazoa; Arthropoda; Insecta; Coleoptera; Nitidulidae. The transcript is spliced from 10 exons.